Molecule: microRNA precursor, 60 nt
Filed under: Chrysemys picta bellii (western painted turtle)
Lineage: Eukaryota; Metazoa; Chordata; Testudines; Emydidae
Description: Cpi-Mir-9583_pre stem-loop
Source: RNAcentral
CAGCAGUCGGAGAAGAAGAGACGGUGACUAACCUCCGUAACUUGUUCUUCGAGAUGUUGC